GAUGAAGAACGUAGCGAAAUGCGAUAAGUAAUGUGAAUUGCAGAAUCCAGUGAAUCAUCGAAUCUUUGAACGCACAUUGCGCCCGCCAGCAUUCUGGCGGGCAUGCCUGUUCGAGCGUCAUUUCAACCCUCGACCUCCCUUUGGGGAAGUCGGCGUUGGGGACCGGCAGCACACCGCCGGCCCUGAAAUGGAGUGGCGGCCCGUCCGCGGCGACCUCUGCGUAGUAAUCCAACUCGCACCGGAACNNNGACGCGGCCACGCCGUAAAACACCCAACUUCUGAACGUUGACCUCGAAUCAGGUAGGACUACCCGCUGAACUUAAGCAUAUCAAUAAGCGGAGGA
This 343-nucleotide unclassified non-coding RNA is filed under the name soil metagenome. RNAcentral's name for it is "partial contains 5.8S ribosomal RNA, internal transcribed spacer 2, and large subunit ribosomal RNA". The stretch from base 1 to 120 matches the Rfam family "5.8S ribosomal RNA", at positions 35 to 154 of the family's 154-position model. The record is from RNAcentral.